This 516-nucleotide ribosomal RNA is filed under the name Metschnikowia sp. (in: budding yeasts & allies). RNAcentral's name for it is "eukaryotic LSU rRNA". It matches the Rfam family "Eukaryotic large subunit ribosomal RNA", at positions 51 to 655 of the family's 3401-position model. Lineage: Eukaryota; Fungi; Ascomycota; Pichiomycetes; Serinales; Metschnikowiaceae. The record is from RNAcentral.
CGGAGGAAAGAAACCAACAGGGAUUGCCUCAGUAACGGCGAGUGAAGCGGCAAAAGCUCAAAUUUGAAAUCCCCCGGGAAUUGUAAUUUGAAGAGAUUUGGGUCCGGCCGGCAGGGGUUAAGUCCACUGGAAAGUGGCGCCACAGAGGGUGACAGCCCCGUGAACCCCCUCAACGCCCUCAUCCCAGAUCUCCAAGAGUCGAGUUGUUUGGGAAUGCAGCUCUAAGUGGGUGGUAAAUUCCAUCUAAAGCUAAAUACCGGCGAGAGACCGAUAGCGAACAAGUACAGUGAUGGAAAGAUGAAAAGCACUUUGAAAAGAGAGUGAAAAAGUACGUGAAAUUGUUGAAAGGGAAGGGCUUGCAAGCAGACACUUAACUGGGCCAGCAUCGGGGCGGCGGGGAGCAAAACCACCGGGGAAUGUACCUUUCGAGGAUUAUAACCCCGGCCCUUACUCCCAUAUCGCCCCGAGGCCUGCAAUCUAAGGAUGCUGGCGUAAUGGUUGCAAGUCGCCCGUCUA